UACAGAGGUCUCAAGCGUUGUUCGGAUUCAUUGGGCGUAAAGGGUGCGUAGGCGGCGCGAUAAGUCGGGUGUGAAAUCUCGGAGCUUAACUCCGAAACUGCAUUCGAUACUGCCGUGCUUGAGGACUGGAGAGGAGACUGGAAUUUACGGUGUAGCGGUGAAAUGCGUAGAUAUCGUAAGGAAGACCAGUGGCGAAGGCGGGUCUCUGGACAGUUCCUGACGCUGAGGCACGAAGGUCAGGGGAGCAAACGGG
RNAcentral lists this ribosomal RNA (253 nucleotides) under uncultured bacterium. RNAcentral's name for it is "partial 16S ribosomal RNA". It matches the Rfam family "Bacterial small subunit ribosomal RNA", at positions 524 to 776 of the family's 1533-position model. The record is from RNAcentral.